Molecule: ribosomal RNA, 292 nt
Filed under: uncultured bacterium
Lineage: Bacteria
Also listed under: 1 other name
Description: partial 16S ribosomal RNA
Source: RNAcentral
GGACUACUGGGGUUUCUAAUCCUGUUUGAUCCCCACGCUUUCGUGCCUCAGAGUCAAUAGUAGUGUAGCGAGCUGCCUUCGCAAUUGGUGUUCUAUGUCAUAUCUAAGCAUUUCACCGCUACAUGACAUAUUCCGCUCACCUCCACUGUAUUCAAGACAGAUAGUAUCAAUGGCAGUUCUGGGGUUAAGCCCCAGGAUUUCACCACUGACUUACCUGCCCUCCUACGCACCCUUUAAACCCAGUGAAUCCGGAUAACGCUUGCACCCUCCGUAUUACCGCGGCGGCUGGCAC